UCUAAUUCUGUAUCAGACUUCAGUACAAAUAUCGUCACAGUUAAGAAUACCCACCCCGUUUUGUUAUCAUUAUUAUUUUUUUACCUCAGACUUGAAAUGGGUGAGAUGAAGAUAGUAAACGACAACAUGACUUUCUUUUAACAGCACCUUGAAAAAAUACACUGCACUAGCAAAGGCAUUAAGAGGGGGAGAAAAGCCUUCAGACCCAAUGGUUAUAGGGCCCCGCAACGUGUGUGAGAGCAUAAGGGGACACGGUGACAACAUUGUCAUGGGUUAAUGUUAAUGCUUUAUGAGAAGGAAUUUGGUUCAAUUCAUUUACUUCAGAGGACUGUUCUGGACCUUCAUUAGC
RNAcentral lists this long non-coding RNA (349 nucleotides) under Homo sapiens (human). RNAcentral describes it as "HSALNT0163871". The record is from RNAcentral. Lineage: Eukaryota; Metazoa; Chordata; Mammalia; Primates; Hominidae.